RNAcentral lists this ribosomal RNA (465 nucleotides) under Leptotrichia sp. oral clone BP2-89. RNAcentral describes it as "bacterial SSU rRNA". It matches the Rfam family "Bacterial small subunit ribosomal RNA", at positions 8 to 491 of the family's 1533-position model. Lineage: Bacteria; Fusobacteriati; Fusobacteriota; Fusobacteriia; Fusobacteriales; Leptotrichiaceae. The record is from RNAcentral.
AGAGUUUGAUCCUGGCUCAGGAUGAACGCUGACAGAAUGCUUAACACAUGCAAGUCUUUGGCGAAGCUGUGCUUGCACAGCCUAGCCAAGGCGGACGGGUGAGUAACGCGUAAGGGACUUGCCCUGCAGUCAGGGAUAACAGACGGAAACGACUGAUAAGACCUGGUAAAGUCAGGCGGACUCAUGUCCAGCCUGAUGAAAAGGAAUGCUGCAGGAGAGCCUUGCGUCCUAUUAGCUUGUUGGUGGGGUAACGGCCCACCAAGGCGAUGAUAGGUAGCCGGCCUGAGAGGGUGGACGGCCACAAGGGGACUGAGAUACGGCCCUUACUCCUACGGGAGGCAGCAGUGGGGAAUAUUGGACAAUGGGGGCAACCCUGAUCCAGCAAUUCUGUGUGCACGAUGAAGGUCUUCGGAUUGUAAAGUGCUUUCAGCAGGGAAGAAAAAAAUGACGGUACCUGCAGAGAGC